This is a long non-coding RNA of Choloepus didactylus (southern two-toed sloth), 3561 nucleotides long. RefSeq lists it as uncharacterized. The record is from RefSeq and is a predicted model, not a curated record. Lineage: Eukaryota; Metazoa; Chordata; Mammalia; Pilosa; Megalonychidae. The transcript has 6 exons.
GCUGACUAUGAACUGUAACCACAAAAAGUUGGAGUUCGGUUCAAAGCUCAAGACUCAAGACUCAUGAGGCUUGAAUAUCUUUUGCCCUUGGCAGAAGGCGUUCCCCACUCAUCUCGGAGGAUGUAAGCUUUAUGCUUGGAAAGUCGUGGCAGCCAGAUGCCCUUUGCAGGUGCAGACGGACCUGGCUGAUGGCUCUUGAGAAUUGCAGCAGUUUCCUGGGAGAAGGAAUUUGGAGAAAGAUGGCAUAAUCAAUCAUCAAAUCUUUGCAAUUUGAGCUACUCUGCUGUCAGAUCAUCCAACAGGACUGUCUGCCAGAGACCAGCAGCUUGAGGAUGUGGGGUGAGCCACCGGGAUAAGUUGAGGAAACUAAUGCUUGGGGACAUUGAGAUGCCCAAGGACUCACAGGCAUGGAAAAGGGGAGCCAUAUAUGUAUCUAGUGAGGAUGGGAUCUGAAGGCGACUGCCCACAGCUCUGGGGACCAGAAAGACAGGUGUCGUGGAACCCUUUGAGUUCUCUGUCCUCCCCGCUGUCUCCAACAGUCGUGGAGAUUAUCUCCAACAAAUAAAGAUACAUUUCCAGAUCCAAAUCUCCCCGACGCUCCUAAUACUCUAACUACUGGCGACUGGGUACACCGAAAGUGACAACACAAAACACCCUAGAAGGGUCCUUACCAGUCCCCUUAACUUCUGAUACUACAGUCAAACCAGAAAGGAUCGAACCUUGAGUUCUCAUCUCACAACAUAACAAGGCUCCACCGUCCAACAAUUGGAACUGUCACCAAACCGGAAACCUACGACUAAAUUUUACUAGGACGAGAAGUGGACGCCUUCACGAGGUAGACAACUUCCAACCAAGAUCGUGGAACAAGGCCCCACGAACUGCUAUGUUCCUGUCAUGUUCCUUACCAUAUUAUUCCUUAUAAUUAUCGUUACAUUUUUAUUAUUUCCACACCACUUUUGCACACCUUUUCCAUCUUCCUUAACAAAUGUUACCACCAAAGACAUUUGAACUGUUCCUAUUUGCCUCUUCCUUCCUCUUUGCCAUGACUGGGAAAGACAAUAAUAUUAUUUAAUCUUCCCAGGCCAUUGCCAAAGGGAAGAUCUAACUGACUGCUGGAUCUGCCAGCAUAAACCCCAAUCUGUUCAUGACACAGGGGAUCCUGUCAUCCUGCCAAUGACCAAUUUUUAGGAAUUCUAAAUGUCACAGUAUUUUACAAUCAAGCUAGAAAAAUCACCCAAACUUAUAGGGUCAGGAUAUUACAGCCUUUGUCACCUAUGCCUUGUUUUAGCUUCGCAAAUGUAAACAGAUCGGGCCUAUUCCCUGGUGGCCAGAUUCAUUCUGCAUGAACACAUGUUGGCCCAGAGAUUACCUUCACUAUGAUACCACCUGUCCUCACAUCAUUACUCCGAGAGACUUGACGGGACAGCUCCCACUAUAUAGAAUGCUCUGUUUAAAAACGACACCUUGGCCCCUUUCAAAUAUAAGAUAUUGUGACAAUUGCAUAAGCAAUGUAUGGUUAGAAACUGCCAACUCAAGCAUUCUCCAAACAAAUAAUCAAACACUUACUGGUGUUCUAUGCACACCUUUGGGUUGUAUUUUCAUUUGUGGAAGGGCUGAGACCAUGACCCACUCUCUCCGUAUGCCUGGACAUUUCAACGUAUGGCAGGACAGUGUGGACUGAGCCUCUGAGUAGUUCCCUAAGAAAUCCGAAGCUUCACACUGGACUAACUCACUUAAUUUACCCUCCUGAGCCAAACUUGAGUUGCCCGAGGGUGUCACUAAAUCUGGGUGGGCCUCUUUCAUUGGAUUCUUAUUUCCUUGGUUGGGAGUUAACAUAAAUGGAAAUACGGUCAACAACUUAUCUGUAACAGUGGGAGAAAUUGCUGAGUCCCCUGAAAAAGCUAUUGCUGCACCACAAAAAUCUUUAGAUUCUUUAGCAAGAAUUGUUUUAGAUAAUGGAGUUGUGCUUGAAUACUCGCUGGCUGAGCAAGGAGGAAUUUGUGCUGUUAUCAGUACCACCUGUUGUACCCGGAUAAACACUUUUGGGGAAGUGGAAAAAUAGUUACAUGAAAUAGCCAAACGCCACAUAACUCAAGCAAGUCUGUCUUUCCUUGGAAUCAUUCUUUGAUUUUUUGAUUUGGGUUGGUUUGGGUCCUAGGGUGCUUGGCUCAGAAGAAUAUUCCUAACACUGAGCAUUUUCCUACUCACAGUAAUCAUGAUAGUCUCUCUGGUGCAUUGCAUCCUCUCUAAAGUUUAAAUGGUUACACCCAGCUGUCCAUCUAGAACAACAGAAGUGGGAAGAGAACAAAAAUAACAAACCCCUUGACAUCUUUAAUCUGGAGUUAAUCACGUACAAGAGCCAUCUAGAGCCACCAGAUGGUAACUGAGAAUGGUGCUAAUGCCUUUAAUUUUGAUUCAGCUCCUGGCCUGGCCAGGGGCCAGCUUAAAAGGGAGGGACUGAUAAAGCAAGUCUAGUUGGCCCAACAUGGAGGUGCCCAGGCUAAGACCCUUGUCAGCAAAACCAAAAACCUAAUCUAGAUCCUAUUUCCGAUAAAUGCCAGACUUGCCAAGGAAACCAAAUUUACGUAUAGCUGAUCAGUUAUCCCCAGCUAACUUCCUCAUUCCUGAGCAACCACCUGCUCCCCACCUUGUUAGACCCCCUCUAAGUAAAAUGGAAACUUACUGUCAGUCAAUCAGAACACUUCUUCACUUGCUUCUGCAAUUGCCCUAUAUGAGCUUCCCCUUCUCAACCCCUUAGUGGGGUACCCUUCUACUUUCUGAAUGGGAUGUUGCCCGAUUCAUGAACUGCUCAAUAAAGCUGUGAGAUCCUAAAUUGCAUGAAAAGUUUUUUUUUUUUACCAUCAGAGUUGAUAAAAUCCUUAAAAAAUAAACUAUCUCUAGUGGAUGCAGGUAUCCAAAAAGAGAUGUUCUCAAUCAUCAGCUCUCAUUCAGAAGUGGUCAUUAUCGCUGUAAUCAUAUAUUCCCUCCCCAAAUCUUCAAUGUGGGUUUGUCGGCAAGGGGUUCUCUUCAUGCAGAAAAAAUUGUUAUCCUUCAAUUCUGAAUUAAUUGAGGAUUGUGUGGGUAGGUAUUAUUAAGAGACGAUUAACAAUUGGCCCUAGUUGAAGUAUUUGCCUCAAUUCCCACAUUUUUGUGCCUAAACUCACCUCUUUGUUCAUUUGCAUAGAAACACAGCUCCUCAUUCAUUCUUACAGAGGAAACUGAAUGGCUAUUUGGUCCAUUUCAUGCUCAGGAAAGGCUUAGAAUUGUGAUAUAAUCAUGUAAUUUUAGGCUUUUGAUGCUACAUUAUUUCUCAAUGAAUUUACUUAUUGUCAAGAGAUGCACUGAAAGGACUGAAGGACAAUGGUGUAUAUCAUAUACUUUUAAAUUUAUCACCUUGUACUGGAUCACCUUCUUUUAGUACCACUACUAGCUAAAUUUUUUAAAGUACAAUCUAUAAUCAUUUUAUGAAUAAUGCAACUAUAUUGCAUGCUGUGGUUAAGCUAUUAUUGGGAAAAUGUACUUCAAUUUUGGAAACAUUAAAAUCUACCACAAUUUGCUUAA